Molecule: non-coding RNA, 121 nt
Organism: Podarcis lilfordi (Lilford's wall lizard)
Lineage: Eukaryota; Metazoa; Chordata; Lepidosauria; Squamata; Lacertidae
Source: the annotation of a GenBank genome assembly
GGGUGGUAGUCAACUAAGUGUUACUCAGAGUAGACCCACUGAAAUUAACCAACAUGACUCAAUUAUGACAACUGAUUUCAGUGGGUCUACUCUGAGUAACACUUAGUUGACUAACACCCCU